UGGGGAAUAUUGGACAAUGGGCGAAAGCCUGAUCCAGCCAUGCCGCGUGAGUGAAGAAGGCCUUAGGGUUGUAAAGCUCUUUCAGCGGGGAAGAUAAUGACGGUACCCGCAGAAGAAGCCCCGGCUAACUUCGUGCCAGCAGCCGCGGUAAUACGAAGGGGGCUAGCGUUGUUCGGAUUUACUGGGCGUAAAGCGCGCGUAGGCGGAUUGUUAAGUCAGUGGUGAAAUCCCGAGGCUCAACCUCGGAACUGCCUUUGAUACUGGCAAUCUGGAGUUCGGGAGAGGUGAGUGGAAUUCCGAGUGUAGAGGUGAAAUUCGUAGAUAUUCGGAGGAACACCAGAAGCGAAGGCGGCUCACUGGCCCGAUACUGACGCUGAGGCGCGAAAGCGUGGGGAGCAAACAGGAUUAGAUACCCCUGUAGUCC
Molecule: ribosomal RNA, 424 nt
Filed under: uncultured prokaryote
Description: bacterial SSU rRNA
Rfam family: Bacterial small subunit ribosomal RNA
Source: RNAcentral